UAUGUCUGCACAGCUAGCAGCUUACAGAGUCACACAGUCACGCCACGCCAGGGUAACAGUGAGCUGAAGUGAUGUGUGACUGAUUCUAAAAUCGAGCAGAGAUCUGACGAUAGGACGAUGGGGGACCAUAACAUAGACGAUAGGAACAGGAUUCCCAAUCCUUUGAAAUCAGGAGCAUCAAACAUAAAAGCUUUUGUGUCUUUCAAGAACAGCACGGAUCGAGUGGUUGAUGUGGUAUGGAUGAACUUCAACGGGCAGAGACAGUCGUUCACUGAGAAUGGCCUGGCCCAGGGCCAGCAGCUGAACAUGCAUACGUAUGAGGGCCACCCUUGGAUAGCCCGUGACAAGUUAACCGCUGACAUGCUGGAGUUCGUUGAUCACGGCGUCGGGAAGCUAGUCUACAUGCCUGAGCCCUGGGACGGUAGGAGAGGCUACAGGGCUCCCAUCGUCAAGAUACGAGUACCAAUGUUCAGCUUGUAUGAGAGGUCAUUGCAGGUCGUCCGGCAGCUUCUCCAAAACAAGGACGACGUGGAUGAACUUGAGAUUCCAAAACAGGUCAAGUACGAUCUCUCACAUGUACGGGACAUCAUUCCACACGCUCCGUGAUGUAACCAUGGAUAUAUAAGACAAUGGAUAGGUACACUUGCUGAAGAUCCUGAAAUAGGUCAAGAACGAUCUCUCACAUGUACGGGAUAUCAUACCACACGCUGCGUGAUGUAACCAUGGAUAUAUAAGACAAUGGAUAGGUACACUUGCUGAAGAUCCUGAUAUAGAUCAAGUACGAUCUCUCACAUGUAUGGGACAUCAUACCGCAUGCCCCGUGAUGUGACCAUGGAUACAAAAGACAAUGGAUAGGUACACUUGCUGAAGAUCCUGAAACAGGUCAUGUACGAUCUCUCACAUGUACGGGACAUCAUACCACAUGGUUCGUGAUGUGACCAUGGAUAUAAAAGACAAUGGAUAGGUACACUUGCUGAAGAUCCUGAAACAGGUCAAAUACGAUCUCUCACAUGUACGGGACAUCAUACCACAUGGUUCGUGAUGUGACCAUGGAUAUAAAAGACAAUGGAUAGGUACACUUGCUGAAGAUCCUUAAACAGGUCAUGUACGAUCUCUCACAUGUACGGGAUAUCAUUCCAAAUGCUCCGUGAUGUGACCAUGGAUACAAAAGACAAUGGAUAGGUACACUUGCUGAAGAUCCUGAAACAGGUCAUGUACGAUCUCUCACAUGUACGGGACAUCAUACCACAUGGUUCGUGAUGUGACCAUGGAUAUAAAAGACAAUGGAUAGGUACACUUGCUGAAGAUCCUGAAACAGGUCAAAUACGAUCUCUCACAUGUACGGGACAUCAUACCACAUGGUUCGUGAUGUAACCAUAGAUAUAUAAGACAAUGGAUAGGUACACUUGCUGAAGAUACCGAAAUAGGUCAAGUAUGAUGUGUAUGUGAGAACAAUCUUCUAACCAUAGAUAUACAACACAAUGGAUAUGGAUGUUUUCUAGAGAUCUCAAAGAGAGUAUACAUGUAUAGUGUACAUUCUUCUAUGUGCUAUCUUUCUGCAUUAUCCAUGGCAAGAUCAGCCUUCGAAUCAUGGAUACAUGGGACAAUGAUGUCAGGUGAUCUUUCACAUGUACAGGACAACCAUGCAAGAACAUUCUAACCAUGGAUAUACAUGUAUAUACAGCACUUGAUAGGUCACACCUGCUGUAAGGUGAUGCCAAAACAUCUAGCUAAUAGUGUACUUGUACUUUACAUGUACAUGUAUGUUGUACAUUUAUGUUGGUACCUUACCCCAUUUAAUUCUGUGCCAUAUUAGGAGUGUGUGUAUUUUCUGUAGUUUAUAUAUUUUUUGGUUAAAGACUCAUCUCUUCGAACUUGUAUCCUUCUCUUUGGAAGCUUAAAGAAACCUUGUCUCAUCGUCUUCCCCCAGUAUGGUAUCUGCGCAUGUGCUGACCUGCGCAGUGUGGGAGAAAGCUCGCCAUCUACUGUCGAACAUCGUAUUUGCAAUAGGGUCAGUUGCGACAGUUUCUUGCCGUGAAAAUUGAAAAGGGCCGUCCUUAACAAUUUCUGAAACUUCCUGGUUUUUAAACUACUAGGGAAUGGGAAAGAGAGAGGGGGG
Molecule: RNA transcript, 2119 nt
Organism: Strongylocentrotus purpuratus (purple sea urchin)
Lineage: Eukaryota; Metazoa; Echinodermata; Echinoidea; Camarodonta; Strongylocentrotidae
Gene name: von Hippel-Lindau tumor suppressor homolog
Exons: 5
Source: RefSeq, a predicted model, not a curated record